UGGGUUCUCACACUCUGCACACCUUC
This 26-nucleotide non-coding RNA is filed under the name Mus musculus (house mouse). Lineage: Eukaryota; Metazoa; Chordata; Mammalia; Rodentia; Muridae. The record is from RNAcentral.